AACACUGUUAACCUGCGGUACCUGCGGAAGGAUCAUUACAGAGUGUAAAAACUCCCAAAACCCAUGUGAACAUACCUUUUUGUUGCUUCGGCGGGAUCGCCCCGGGCGCCUUGUGUGCCCCGGAGUCAGGCGCCCGCCGGGGGACCCAAACUCUUGUUUUUAACGAGUAUCUUCUGAGUAACGUUUUUAAAUAAAUAAAAACUUUUAGCAACGGAUCU
This 218-nucleotide unclassified non-coding RNA is filed under the name soil metagenome. Its description in RNAcentral is "partial contains 5.8S ribosomal RNA, internal transcribed spacer 2, and large subunit ribosomal RNA". The record is from RNAcentral.